This 433-nucleotide ribosomal RNA is filed under the name uncultured bacterium. Its description in RNAcentral is "partial 16S ribosomal RNA". It matches the Rfam family "Bacterial small subunit ribosomal RNA", at positions 29 to 507 of the family's 1533-position model. The record is from RNAcentral.
AACGAACGCUGGCGGCAGGCCUAACACAUGCAAGUCGAGCGGCCCUUUCGUGGUCAGCUGCGGACACGUGCGUCACGCGUCGGAAUAUGCCCUUCUCUACGGAAUACUCCUGGGUAACUGGGGGUAAUACCGUAUACGCCCCUCUGGGGAAAGAUUUAUCCGGCGAGGAUUAGCACGAGUUGGUUUAGCCGGUGGGUGGGGUAAUGGCCUAUCAAGGCGUCGAUCCAUAGCUGGGUUGAGAGGAUGAGCAGCCACACUGGGACUGAGACCCGGCCCAGACUCCUACGCGAGGCAGGAGUGGGGAAUCUUGGACAAUGGGGGCAACCAUGAUGGAGCCAGGCUGCGUGAGUGAUGAAGGUCGGAGGGAUGUAAAGCACUUUAAUCUGGGACGAUAAUGACGGUACCAGAAGAAGAAGCCCCGGCUAACUCCGUG